GACGAACGCUGGCGGCGUGCUUAACACAUGCAAGUAGAACAGUUGAGAACGGGUGAGUAACGCGGAGGUAACUGACUCAUAGAGGGGGAUAAAUAUUGUAAACGAUAGCCAAUACCGCGUACCGUCAGAGGGCCAUGCGUUGUAUUAGGUAGUUGGUGAGGUAAAGGCUGUCAAAGGCCACGAUACAUAGCAGACCUGAGAGGGUGAUCGGCGAAACCGGGCCUGGGACACGGCCCAGAACCCUGCGGCAGGGAGCAGUAGGGAAUCUUCGGCGAUGGACGGAAGUCUGACCGAGCAACGCCGCGUGAAUGUAGAAUGUUUUCGGGUCGUAAAACUCUGUUGUUAGUGAAGCGGUAACUAACCAGAAAGCGCCGGCUAACUACGUGCCAGCAGCCGCGGUAAUAC
RNAcentral lists this ribosomal RNA (405 nucleotides) under uncultured bacterium. RNAcentral's name for it is "partial 16S ribosomal RNA". It matches the Rfam family "Bacterial small subunit ribosomal RNA", at positions 28 to 526 of the family's 1533-position model. The record is from RNAcentral.